This 254-nucleotide ribosomal RNA is filed under the name uncultured bacterium. Its description in RNAcentral is "partial 16S ribosomal RNA". It matches the Rfam family "Bacterial small subunit ribosomal RNA", at positions 524 to 776 of the family's 1533-position model. The record is from RNAcentral.
UACGUAGGGGGCGAGCGUUGUCCGGAUUUAUUGGGCGUACAGAGCUCGUAGGCGGUUCGGCAAGUCAGAUGUAAAAACUCCAGGCUCAACUUGGAGAGGCCAUCUGAUACUGCCGUGACUAGAGUCCGGUAGAGGAGCACGGAAUUCCUGGUGUAGCGGUGAAAUGCGCAGAUAUCAGGAGGAACACCAGCGGCGAAGGCGGUGCUCUGGGCCGGAACCGACGCUGAGGAGCGAAAGCGUGGGGAGCGAACAGG